Molecule: ribosomal RNA, 329 nt
Filed under: uncultured fungus
Lineage: Eukaryota; Fungi
Description: eukaryotic LSU rRNA
Rfam family: 5.8S ribosomal RNA (bases 1-125)
Source: RNAcentral
GCAUCGAUGAAGAACGCAGCGAAAUGCGNUAAGUAGUGUGAAUUGCAGAAUUUAGUGAAUCAUCGAAUUUUUGAACGCAUAUUGCGCCCUUUGGUAUUCCAUUGGGCAUGCCUGUUCGAGCGUCAUAUGUAAAUCAAGCAUAGCUUGGUGUUGAGUAUUUGUCCUCUGGACUGACUUGAAAAACAUUGGCCACUCCUAUAUUAUGCAUAGUGCAGCACAUGUUACACUAUAGCCACUAUAUAUGUGUCCAAGAAGCCUACUUCUACUAGCUUGACCUCAGAUCAGGCAAGAAUACCCGCUGAACUUAAGCAUAUCAAUAAGCGGAGGAA